AUCCUUGGUUUACACACAUUUUGAACUUACUGAGAUGUGGUUACAAAAUUUAAGUACAAUAGUUAUUUGAUUUACAAGAAUGACACUAUUUACAUUUGGGACAACAGAUAGGAAUGUUAUCUCUUUACAGUUAGUUUACAAGAAUAUGUUAUAGUCUGUUUUCCAUAAUUUUUUAGUACUUGGGCUCCAUUCAACUCAACCUGCAUAUUUUCUAACCGAGCAACUCAAAGAGUUUUUAAGAUUACUUUGAUAAGAGAUGAAUGCUCCUGAGAAGCCUGGUUUUUAAUGUGUUGGAGUAUCAAAUGUCUGUCUAUUGAUAUCUCUCAGAUCCUAGUUGUUGUUGGGGUGUCUCUACGUGAGGUAGUUAGCUUAUACAAAGGUAGAAGAGUAAUCGCAUCCAAGGGAGAUGAAGGGACAAACUGGAAAGUCUAUCAGUUGGUUCUUUACUACUGCGGUGUAUUAGUGGGAUAGUGGGUGGACUGAUUGGUUUAGGUGGAGGCUUUAUUACGGGUCCUCUUUUCUUGGAGCUGGGAAUGCCUCCUCAGGUGCACACAUCAUCCUCCAGAUUUCACUACAUUAUAUUGCUCAUGUUAAUUGCUUUUUCCUUCAAACUAGUCAUCUUUUAGCUCUGAAUCUUCCCCCUCGGACCUGCAAUACAUUUUAUUCAUGUUAUAGCUUUGCUGUUUUCAAAAGUCAAAUCAGUAUUUUUCAUUCAUUCUUUGUCCUGAAAGGUUGCCUCAUUGAGAUCAUAGUUCUAAAACUCACUGAUUCAACUUGAAACCAAUAGCCCAUGUUAUGAGGGGGAAAAACCAAUGGCCCAUGUUCUAUAUAUGUGUGUGGCCCGUUGGACGAAUGGUAAGAAAUAGUGAUCAAUGGCUAAUAUUGUAUUUACACAUGUGGCCUAUCUUAUGGAUGGAUGAUUGAUUUUGGUCUAGGGUAUGCUUAUUGUGCGUCCUACCUAACGAAUGGCCCAGAUCUCACACACGUGCAACAAAGUCACCCUGUCCAUCAGCAUGUGAGUGAGUGCACUGAGCAUUCAGUGGUGUUGGAAUAAGAGUGAGCAGAAGUAUCAAUGUACCUAUUUCUCUAUGGCCACGUUUGGAUAUACAAUCAAAGUUGAAUGAUGAAGGUCGAAAAAGGUGAGUAUGGAACUAGAAAUUUUAAAAUAACUAUCAAACAAGUGCUUGGAGUACCAUGGUUCAAACCAUCACAAUGUAGAUAGGAUAUGGGCAUUGCAGAUACAAUGUGAUGUUAUAACUUUACACAGUUCAAUGAAUGACAUUUAAUUGUUAUUACAUUUUUUCAGAAAAUCAUUGUGGUAUUUUAUAGUUAUUUGCUACAAAAUCACCUGGAAAAAGAAUCUUAUAAUUUUAGUACAGAAACUUGCGCCAAGUAUUCCUUGCAUAUAUCUUUCUCCAUGGUGCUCCUACUUUGAAAUUAGUAGUGAGUCUAAUUUCACAAUGCAAAUUCUAUUUGUAGUUCCAAUGUUUGCAGGCAUGUCAGCAAAACCAAGGAUUAUAUUGAGGAUGGUUAUCUGAAUCUAUGCUCAGCACCAAAUUCUCUGUAUGAAGUAUGCUUUUCUAGGACCAAGGCUUCAUGACACCCACAACCAAUCAGCUAAAGUUCAUUAUUUUUUUAACAUAUGUUGCAUCUUUUAGCAAUUGACUGCAUCUUUUAGCAGUUUUAUUUUUCUGUUUAGGAACCUCACGGAUUGCGUGGUAGUCUAUUUGUCAAGGGCAAUUCUUCCAAACUGGUUAGGUGUCAGUUUGUUAUACUUUUCCCUGGUGUUCUUUCCAGAUCAGUUUAAAAGGUUGUUGCAGCUUCAUCUUCCCAUGAAUCAAUACAUUUUUUCUUUUUCUUUUUGAUGGGCAAUAACAACAUGGAUGGGGAAUAGAUCAAGUUCUGCAUAUCAUCACAAGGGGAAAAUGAACAUAUCAUUUUAGACUUUUAGUUGAUGCAUUAUCUAGGCUCCUUGAUACAAUGAGGGAAUUAGGUCCACGGAGAAUCAUCACGGGCUGUGGCUGGUAAAGGUCAUGAAACUCAUCAACUAGAAGGCAGCAACAAGGAGUUAUUCGAUGAUAGGGAAGAGUGCCGAGAAGCGUUGCAAUAUGUUGAUGAGCUUCAUCAAGCUAGGAUAGACACAAGCGAAUUUCCAUGGCGGUUUGAAGAGCAAGAGGCUCCUGGUUCAAGGGCAUUCUUUACAGAGAUUAUUGCCUUAAUAUCGGAUAUUAAUUUUUCGAAGGAUGGCCCAUUGUAAAUUAAUUGUUGUAAAUAUAUAUAAAUUUUAUUAUAAAGUUGUACUAUAUUUUGUUAAUAUUAAUUUUUAAUUGUACUUAAUAUUCUUUGGGUUUUAAAUAUAAAAAAAAAUGUAUAGCUUUUAUUGGCCAUUUCUAAAUA
Long non-coding RNA from Magnolia sinica, 2397 nucleotides. RefSeq lists it as uncharacterized. The transcript has 4 exons. NCBI's taxonomy places the organism in Eukaryota, Viridiplantae, Streptophyta, Magnoliopsida, Magnoliales, Magnoliaceae. The record is from RefSeq and is a predicted model, not a curated record.